RNAcentral lists this ribosomal RNA (575 nucleotides) under Salmonella enterica subsp. enterica serovar Lubbock. RNAcentral describes it as "partial 23S ribosomal RNA". It matches the Rfam family "Bacterial large subunit ribosomal RNA", at positions 140 to 652 of the family's 2925-position model. The record is from RNAcentral. Lineage: Bacteria; Pseudomonadati; Pseudomonadota; Gammaproteobacteria; Enterobacterales; Enterobacteriaceae.
UCGUCACACUAUCAUUAACUGAAUCCAUAGGUUAAUGAGGCGAACCGGGGGAACUGAAACAUCUAAGUACCCCGAGGAAAAGAAAUCAACCGAGAUUCCCCCAGUAGCGGCGAGCGAACGGGGAGGAGCCCAGAGCCUGAAUCAGCAUGUGUGUUAGUGGAAGCGUCUGGAAAGGCGCGCGAUACAGGGUGACAGCCCCGUACACAAAAGCGCAUGUGCUGUGAGCUCGAUGAGUAGGGCGGGACACGUGGUAUCCUGUCUGAAUAUGGGGGGACCAUCCUCCAAGGCUAAAUACUCCUGACUGACCGAUAGUGAACCAGUACCGUGAGGGAAAGGCGAAAAGAACCCCGGCGAGGGGAGUGAAAAAGAACCUGAAACCGUGUACGUACAAGCAGUGGGAGCCCCACCACUAAGCCAGUGGUGAACUCCACAUACGCAUCCUUUGCUGAGGAUACGGUUAACGGAGCGAAAGCGACGUUCAACCUCAAAAGAAGCAGAGGGGGCUUAGUGGUGGGGUGACUGCGUACCUUUUGUAUAAUGGGUCAGCGACUUAUAUUCUGUAGCAAGGUUAACCG